This 433-nucleotide ribosomal RNA is filed under the name uncultured bacterium. RNAcentral's name for it is "partial 16S ribosomal RNA". It matches the Rfam family "Bacterial small subunit ribosomal RNA", at positions 29 to 507 of the family's 1533-position model. The record is from RNAcentral.
AACGAACGCUGGCGGCAUGCCUAACACAUGCAAGUCGAACGAGACCUUCGGGUCUAGUGGCGCACGGGUGCGUAACGCGUGGGAACCUGCCCUUAGGUUCGGAAUAACUCAGAGAAAUUUGAGCUAAUACCGGAUAAUGUCUUCGGACCAAAGAUUUAUCGCCUUUGGAUGGGCCCGCGUAGGAUUAGCUCGUUGGUGGGGUAAUGGCCUACCAAGGCGACGAUCCUUAGCUGGUCUGAGAGGAUGAUCAGCCACACUGGGACUGAGACACGGCCCAGACUCCUACGGGAGGCAGCAGUGGGGAAUAUUGGACAAUGGGCGAAAGCCUGAUCCAGCAAUGCCGCGUGAGUGAUGAAGGCCUUAGGGUUGUAAAGCUCUUUUACCAGGGAUGAUAAUGACAGUACCUGGAGAAUAAGCUCCGGCUAACUCCGUG